GACGAACGCUGGCGGCGUGCUUAACACAUGCAAGUCGAGCGGUAAGGCCCUUUCGGGGGUACACGAGCGGCGAACGGGUGGGUAACACGUGGGUGACCUGCCCUCAGCUCUGGGAUAAGCCUGGGAAACCGGGUCUAAUACUGGAUAUGACUCCAUGACGCAUGUUGUGGGGUGGAAAGCCUUGUGCGGCUGAGGAUGGGCCCGCGGCCUAUCAGCUUGUUGGUGGGGUGAGGCCUACCAAGGCGACGACGGGUAGCCGGCCUGAGAGGGCGACCGGCCACACUGGGACUGAGACACGGCCCAGACUCCUACGGGAGGCAGCAGUGGGGAAUCUUGCGCAAUGGGCGAAAGCCUGACGCAGCGACGCCGCGUGAGGGAUGACGGCCUGG
This 389-nucleotide ribosomal RNA is filed under the name uncultured bacterium. RNAcentral's name for it is "bacterial SSU rRNA". It matches the Rfam family "Bacterial small subunit ribosomal RNA", at positions 28 to 419 of the family's 1533-position model. The record is from RNAcentral.